Molecule: ribosomal RNA, 552 nt
Filed under: Polyozus australianus
Lineage: Eukaryota; Metazoa; Arthropoda; Insecta; Hemiptera; Miridae
Description: partial 16S ribosomal RNA
Rfam family: Bacterial large subunit ribosomal RNA
Source: RNAcentral
UCGCCUGUUUAUCAAAAACAUGGUCUUUUGUUUAAAUAAAAGAUCUGGCCUGCCCAAUGAUUAUUUUAAUGGCUGCAGUAUUUUGACUGUACAAAGGUAGCAUAAUCAUUUGUCUCUUAAUUGGAGUCUGGAAUGAAUGGUUGGAUGAAGAGUUAACUUUCUUUAUUUUAUAUAUAGAACUUAAUUUUUAAGUCAAAAAGUUUAAAUAUAAAUAUAGGACGAGAAGACCCUAUAGAACUUUACUUUCUUAAUAUUAGAAACUUUAUUGAAAAUAAUUUUUUUUUAUUUUUAAGAAAGUUUUGUUGGGGUGACAAAAAAAAAUAAAUAACUUUUUUUACUUUUUCCAUUUAUAUAUGUUUUUUUGAUCCUAUAAUAUGGAUAAAAAGAUUAAGUUACCUUAGGGAUAACAGCGUUAUUACUUUAGAGAGUUCAUAUUGAUAAAGUAGUUUGCGACCUCGAUGUUGGAUUAAAAUUAGUUUCAGGAGUAGAAGAUUGAUUAUCUAGGUCUGUUCGACCUUUAAAUUUUUACAUGAUCUGAGUUCAAACCGGAGA